RNAcentral lists this ribosomal RNA (216 nucleotides) under Glomeromycotina sp. RNAcentral's name for it is "partial small subunit ribosomal RNA". The stretch from base 40 to 216 matches the Rfam family "Eukaryotic small subunit ribosomal RNA", at positions 686 to 864 of the family's 1831-position model. Lineage: Eukaryota; Fungi; Glomeromycota. The record is from RNAcentral.
GGGUCAGUAGGUUGGUCGUGCCACCGGUACGUACUGGUCUCACUGAUUCCUCCUUCCUGAAGAGCCGUAAUGCCAUUAAUUUGGUGUUGCGGGGAAACAGGACUGUUACUUUGAAAAAAUUAGAGUGUUUAAAGCAAGCUAACGCUUGAAUACAUUAGCAUGGAAUAAUGAAAUAGGACGAUCGAUCCUAUUUUAUUGGUUUCUAGGACUGACGUA